Non-coding RNA from Callorhinus ursinus (northern fur seal), 273 nucleotides. The record is from RefSeq and is a predicted model, not a curated record. Lineage: Eukaryota; Metazoa; Chordata; Mammalia; Carnivora; Otariidae.
CCCUUGCUAGGAUUUAUGCUUCAACCAGCGGGAUGAAAAAGCCCUCUUUGUACUGGAGUGCCGAACUGACUGGCUGAAAGAAAAUUUCAGAAGAGAGCUGGAUGAAAAGAUGCCUUGAUGACAUCAUUUCACCAGCGGUACAUCAGAAAUAUGGCCCCGUCUGGAGACAGUACACAACUUGACGCUUUCCACUGCCCUUCCAAUCAGGAGCAACUACAGCUGUCGAGGGAGCACUGAAAAAAUGUCAAUUAGCUAUAAAAGUUCCACAAACAA